This 6294-nucleotide long non-coding RNA is filed under the name Sus scrofa (pig). RNAcentral describes it as "lncRNA (ENSSSCG00015066667.1)". Lineage: Eukaryota; Metazoa; Chordata; Mammalia; Artiodactyla; Suidae. The record is from RNAcentral.
AAGCCUUAUUUACUUUGUAUCUCGAGCCCUGGCACUGUGCUUAGUCUAUAGUAGCCGCUUAAUAAACCUAUUUUUGUUCAAAUGACGUUUGUCACAAAGCAGUACAAUUCUCUUGGGGCCUAUUUUGCUCAUGUGCCCCUGCCUAAGUGUGGCAGAGCUAAAGAAAAUACCUUUUAGGUUAGAAGUCAAGCACUUAGAAUUUUUUCAUAGCAUCUUAUUUUGCUAAUAGUGGAGGGAAUUUUCCUUAUAGGAGUGAUAAUUUCUCAAAGCAGAACUGAAAAUAAAACAUUAAUUAAAAAAAUUUUUUUUGUGUGUGUGUGUGUUUUUUGGGCUGCAUUCACAGCAUUUGGAGAUUCCCAGGCUAGGAGCUGAAUUGGAGCUAUGGCCAGUAGCCUAUGCCAUAGGCACAGCAAAGACAGAUACAAGCCACAACUGCCACCUACACCACAACUCAUGGCAACACUAGAUCCUUAACCCACUGAGCGAGGCCAGGAUCAAACCUGCUUCCUUAUAGAUUUGUUUCCGCUGAGCCAUGAUGGGAGCUCCAAAACUUUUAUUUUUUGACUGAAGCUAUCUAAAUGAAAAUGGUGUUAUGCUAAACAAUAUGAUUUGCUUUCUAUAAUGGGAUACUUGAUAUAUAAUCAAUAUAAUAUGGGCAGUUAUUGCUUGUAUACAGCUAUACACAGAAAUAUUUUAUAUUGUAAACUUGAAAAGGAAGUCUAUCACUUUGUUAUUUAUAUAAGAUAGAAAUAGAUGGCAAGAUUUUUUUGUGGGCAAGUUAAAAAAAAAGACUCAGUUACCAUUUAUAGGAAAAACAUGUUAUAUAUGUGUGUGUGUGUAUAUGUAUAUAUAUAUAUAUGAGAAAUGCUGUUACCAUGUGUGAGAAAUAUAGAGUUUCACUCAAUACCUUAAAUGUAGGUCAUGUUCCAAAAAUUUGUAGUUUUAGGGUAAAUUUUUGCAGUCAGGGUGUAUUUCCUUCUAGAACAAUGUUAUGAAAUUUGUAGGGGGAGUUCCCGUCGUGACACAGCGGAAACAAAUCCGACUAAGAUCCAUGAGGAUGUAGGAUCAAUCCCUGGCCUUGCUCAGUGAGUUAAGGAUCCUGUGUUGCUGUGAGCUGUGGUGUAGGUCGCAGAUGUGGCUCGGAUCUGGUGUUGCUGUGGCUGUGGUAUAGGCCAGCAGAUAUAGCUGCAAUUCAAUCCCUAGCCUGGGCACCUCCAUAUGCUGCUAGCGCAGCCCUAAAAAAGCCAAGAAAAAUAAAUUUGUAGGUGAGCCCCCAAAAUCUUUUUUUUUUUUUUUUUACCUGUAAUAACUGAAAUAUCUCUACUAGGAGCCAUGAACCCCAGGACAUUUAGGACUCUUAAAGCCCAAGUAUAGAGACCUUCUGAGGUUAACCUCCCUGGAGGUUUCAAGGGCUGUAAACUGUGGGCAGUGAGACUGAGUUGCUCAGAUGUGGAGAGCCCCUGGUGACAUCUAAUUAGCAAUGAGAUAGGAAUGUGUCCUCAUCCAGAAGGGAAAGGGUGCCUGCAGGAGAAUAAGGGCUCUUUGAAUGUGGUUUUACAUUCACAGAGGACCUUGUAAAUUUAAACUUCUGGUCUUUCUUUCAAAUAUUUCUCUCAAAAGCUAGAUAUAAAUUCAUUGCUUUUGUCAUUGCAAUUGUGUGUUUCAGAAGCAUUACUAUGUGAAAUGUAGGCAUUUAAAAUAAACUACAUUUUAAAACUUAGUUGGCAUUUCUUUGCUUUUUAAUAAAGUAAAUUGAGAGCCUCAAAAAAUAGAAGGUCUUAAGUCUCUUUCAACCUUUGAGAAACUCUGAUUUUUUUUUUUUUUUUUUGGUCUCUUUUAGGGCCGUACCUGCAGCAUAUGGAGGUUCCCAGGCUAGGGGUCGAAUCGGAGCGGUAGCCACCGGCCUACGCCAGAGCCAGAGCAAUGCGGGAUCCGAGCCGCGUCUGCAACCUACAGCACAGCUCACGGCAACGCCGGAUCGUUAACCCACUGAGCAAGGGCAGGGACCGAACCCGCAACCUCGCGGUUCCUAGUCGGAUUCGUUACCCACUGCGCCACGACGGGAACUCCCUAGUUUCUGUAUUUUUACAUCUCUCAACUCCAGGGUUUAGUGCUCUCCCUCAGGGCCUGUCCAGGGCUUCACGCUAAAGCCCCCCAUGUUUUAUGACUCUCAUCUGACUUUUAUUUUUUUUUUUAAUUUUUAAUUUAAUUUUAUUUUUUAGGGCUACACCCGCGGCAUAUGAAGUCCCAGGCUAGGGGUCGAAUAGGAGGUGUAGCUGCUGGUCUACACCACAGCCACAGCAAUCUGGGAUUUGAGCUGUGUCUGACUUACACCACAGUUCAUGGCAAUGCUGAAUCCUUAACCCACUGAGCACGGCCAGGGAUUGAACUUGUGUCCUCAUGGAUACUAGUCACAUUCAUUUCCACUGAGCCGUGAUGGGAACUCCCUAAUCUCACUUUUUAAAUCUCUGAUUUUAUUCUAGGAAAAUUUUAUUCUAGUAGCUAAAUUGAUAUAUUUAAUGAGUUGUACUUUUUUUCCUAUGGGAUAGGCUCUAAACUGUGCCUUUCCCCCCAGAGAAUGUUUGAGUUACGGUAGGCCAAUCAGGAAGGAAGUUUUGAGCCACCUAUAAAAUCAGCUCUCCCCAUCUGCUUUGUCACCACAAAUGUUGGAAAAAGCAUCAAAGAUGUCUUCUGUGGAACCCCAAAUGUCUGAUCCUUGAUACUAAUGGUGAUGGAAUUAUCAGUCAAAAGCCUUCUCUUUUCAUCCUGGUUUCUCCCAAACAAACAAAACACACACACAAACAUAUAUGUCAAAAUACUUUCUACCUGAGCUUUAAGCAGCUGUCCUAUUAUUUAUACAUUGACAUUAUUAUAUUUAUGUGUAUACAAUCUACUUUUCAGAAAUAUUUUUGAAUUAGUUCUCCCCAAUGUCCAUGAAUUCAUCCAGAAAACAUUUCUUAAAUUUCUUAUGUGUACUAGGCCCUGUGAUAACAGCUACCUGUGGCUGAUCUGACUUUACCCAUGAGGAAUGUGCAGCAUGGAAAGGCUGGUAACAGUUAACUGAAUCCAUUUGCCAGAAGGCGGGUGCUUCGUUCACCAAGCUUCACUAAAAUUUGAUAUUUUGCUUUCGCAAGCUGGUUAGAAGCAUUGCAUUAAAAUCCUGCCAAACUUUGUCCCUUUUUAUCCAAAUGUUUUUAACUUGAAAAAGGAAUUUCAGUGUGUAAAACUUUCCAUUAUAAGGCCACCUGUAAAUUUAAAACAGUCAAAACUGUUUUUUCAGCUGCCUUCAGCUCUGUUUCUCAACUGACUUAUACUGACAGAUAAAGAUGGCUUUCCCCUGAGAAGGAUUGUUUUGUUUGUGGUUAUUCUGUCACUACCAGGAGGGACAGCUCCCCUGAUCCAUAGGGAAUGCAGAGAUGCAGUUUACAGACAGAAUCAUGCUGACUAGCAACUAAAAAAUCAUAGUCAAAUAAUGAUUUCAUUGUUCCUUCCUGUGUCCAUGACAACUGAGAGGUAUGCAGCUAGAUCAAGACAGUGCCUCGGAGUAGUGUGUUUUUUCUGCCUCAAAUACUACUAUUUUGAAAAAGUUUGUAAUUUUUUCUGACAAUCAGGCUAAGGAGAAAAAGGGACAUUUCCUAUAUCUUAAUAGUUUUGCUAUUUUUAUAUCCCUGUAGGUAAUUCUUCUGUGUUUGUGUUUAUUCUUCUGUGUAACACUCUUCACUUCUGUUCACUAGCAUUCUGACUUGCCCUUUAGUGCAAGCAGGCUAAGCACUUUAUGUGCAUUAUCUCAUUUAACUCCCAACAAAGAUAUGUUAUUUGUGUUUAUUUAAGUUUUGGGGAAAACUCUAGCAACAGAAUACAUGUUUUUAUAUCUCAUGCUGAAGCAACAGUCUUAGACAUCUAUUACAGUAUUAAACCCUUUCGAAAUGGGAAGGCUAAUAUCCAUGAUAAACUCAAUUGUAUAUUUAAAUAAGAAAGCCCGAGUUUCUUCCUGGUAAUCCAACCAAGACAUUAAUUAUUAAGUUUUCAACAUCUUAUAAAGUUAAAAUGAUGUAAUAAAACAUAUUUUCUGAAGGCAUUUCUUAGCCUACAGUUUUUUAACUGUACUUCCAAAGUGAAUUUGUCUGUAUUUUGACAUAUCACAUUAGUUUGGUAAAGAAAUUAUUUCAACUUUAAUCUUCAAAAGAAUUUAUUUUUUUAAGGGCCACACCUGCAGCAUAUGGAGAUUUCCAGGCUCAGAAUCGAAUUGGAACUGUAGUGGCUGUCCUACACCACAGCCACAGCAAAGCCAGAUCUCAGCUGUGUCUACGACCUACAUUACAGCUCACGGCAAUGCUGACUCCUUAACCCACUGAGUGAGACCAGGGAUCGAACCUGGAUCCUCAUGAAUACUAGUCAGAUUAAUUUCCGAUGAGCCACGAUGGGAACUCCCAAAAGAAUAUUUUUAAUAGAUACUUUUUCUUACAUUCAAUAUCUGUUUUUCUGUAUAUAUAAUUCUAACCUACAUAUAUUGUUGAGAGUCAUCAUAAUAAUUAUAUUUGCUUAACUACUGCUAGUUUGGGGGACAUUUUUAUUUAUAUGUUCUCAUUCACUUCUCAUAACACAUUAGUGGGGGCACAGGUCAAGAAUUAGUCUCAUUUAAUAGGUGGGAAAACUAAGACAGUUUAUUAGUAGGCUGUUUAGCUGAACCAGGGCAAAAAUUCUUGGUUUUUAGACAGAUGUUCCUUUCUUUAACUAAAUUCAUGCAUUUAGCAAGCAUUAUUAAGCUGUAGGUAUGUGUCUAAUGCAGCUCUAGGCAGCGGGCAUCCAAGAUGGGUAAGACACUCGUCUCGCCUCUAAGGAGUUCUAUAUGCAGCAUCAUGAAUGCAUUUUAAAGUUCUUUGCUUUUUGCUUCCAAGGCGGAAUACAUGACCUGAAAUUACCAUGGCUAAGGCACUCAGCUCUUCUGAGACAUAGGCAGGAAGAAGAAAAGAAUUUUGAUAGUUCUGAAAUCCAUAAUUACCACCUUCUACAGUUAAAUUUUGUGACAGCCUCUUAGACGCAAGAUCAGCCUAGACAAUGAUGUCCCUUGUGGCUGAAUUUUCUGGUGAUUUCUGCUACAUUAGCGAAUGCUGUAGUGUUUUUCUAAGAAUGUAUUAUUGUAGUGAUGCUUUAAUUUGCUUUUUUCCAGCUUUUCAACUGCUAACUUUCAUUUUAGUUUGGCCAGAAACUGUUUUGAAGUUUGAGCAUUUUGGUUUAAUGCUAAUUCAUCUCAAGUAUUUAGCCAUUUUUUGAAAUAAUCCUGUUGCUGAACUGAAAUACUCUGAUUUACUAGAUACAAAUUCUAGAGCAAGGUGUAAAGUUUGUUUUAAUUAAACUUUCUUUAAAAUGCAUCCUUUUUUUUUUUUUUUGCUAAUUGUAAAGACUUGAAGGGAAGUUAUUGCCUUUGCUGUCUUUUGUAAUUAGCCAUAUUCGUUUUAUUUUAAAGCAUAAAACACGAGUCACUUAAAUGGAUAGAGCUAUUUUACUCCUUGUUGAGGACUUAUAGUUGUCCUAAAGGAAGAAAAGUUCAGAAUGAAUAUUAUUAGUUUUUCAGUUACUGAGUGGAAACAUUUUAUAUCUUGAAAAUUUUCUUUGAAUAUUUUGCAAUUAACAAUAUAUAAAGAGAUAAAAGAAUAGUGUAUAAUAUUGAAAAGUUAAAAUAAGAGUAUUGUUAAGCAGCAAAUAAAUGAAAUAUACCUCUUACUCUUAUAUGAAACUUUUUUAGCUUAAUGUCAAUAAAGUUUAAAUUAGUUCAGACUUUUCUUAUUAGAAUAAAUGUUUCCUUUUAAAAUGCAUGAUAAUCAUAAUCAAGACAAAAUUUGUCCUGUUAUUUAUUUUCAAAAUGAUUGUACAUGUUUAGCAGACUUUUGAUUUAAAUCCCCAGUGAUAUAUUGGAGACAGAUGUUUGGAUGACCUCAUGUUUAAAGUAAUGUUAUAUUUGGACACAAGAUUAAAUUUUCCUUAAAAUCUUUCCUUAUAAGUUAAACUGUGUGGUAGUACACAAAAACUAAUCAAUGAUUUUCAGUGGAUUAAUGCAAUUCCUGUAUUUUAAAUGAAAUUUUGUAUCUUUUAUGGAAUUCCACGUAGUACAAAAGGGCUGAUUAUGAAACAGCUGUUUACAAAUGAAAAUAUUGUUUUUGGCUGGUCAGCUAAAUGGGAAACAGAUUUGAAAAGUUCCAUGAAUUUGAAUGUAAAUUUACCAUAUCAUUUAUACGGAACCAAAGAACAUUGGUAAAAGACUGCAACAUAGUUUACCAAAAAAAAAAAAAAAAA